This is a long non-coding RNA of Cucurbita maxima (winter squash), 1531 nucleotides long. RefSeq lists it as uncharacterized. The transcript has 2 exons. NCBI's taxonomy places the organism in Eukaryota, Viridiplantae, Streptophyta, Magnoliopsida, Cucurbitales, Cucurbitaceae. The record is from RefSeq and is a predicted model, not a curated record.
UUUUUUUUUUCAUUAAUUUUAAUUUCCAUCCAAAAUUAUAACUUAUUUUACUGCGAAAUAUUUAUGAACUAUCAAAAUAAUUAAUGAAGUCGAUUUAUUUUCAGAUAAGCUUAAUAAAACAAUCCUAAAUAUUUUUACAGAAAACAAAUAAUAAAACAAUCCUAAUUCAUCUUCCGCGAAAAAAGAAAAAAGAGGGAAAAAACCCAAAAUCUGUAAGGGUGAAAGUACAUCCUUAGCCCUGUGGCACCCUAUGUAAUGGUUCCUUCAUCAAUCGUCACUCAUAAAUCAAUUCAGAAAAUAGUGCUAGGGUUUGUUUUCUUUUCGCAGCCGACCGUCGCGCUUCUUUCUGCAAUACAGCUACUUCGUCGUCGUCGACGAUUCUUUUCGUAUUGUAGGCUGUCAGUGGUCCUUAUAAGUUAUUCCUGCUUCUUCUAUUUGGUAUUUUACUGUUCAUCUGCCUUCAAUCUCAUUUUUCUGCCCGCAUCGGUGAUGAAACAAUAUUAUUGUUAUCCUUGCACUUUGAUUUACCAUGAAGAAACCCAUGGGGAAUAUUGUUCCUGAGAUGCUUUUGUUCUUUAGAAGGUCGUUAGUUUACGAUUUUGUAGGUCAUUCUGCAUAUCUAGAUCGAUGAUGCGAUUACAAAUCUGCGUUAUCUAUCUGCAAUUUCCUGCUAGGAAUUGAAGAUAAACGGAUAAUCUCUGAGAUCUGUUUUCUUACUCUAUUGUUUCCCCCCGAGUCAUAUUUUAUUUCUUAGAGAUAUAGGUAUUUGUUUGAAUUGUUAAUUGAUUAUAUGCGUUUACCAAUACAGCCCUUGGAUCCAUGAUGUUAAUGAAAAACUGCGUUAUCUAUCUGUAAGUUCCUAUAUGGAGUUGAUGAUAUUGUUGAUUUCUGAGAUCCAACAGCGUUGUUUUCAUUGUAUGGUUGUUGGUGGAUAGGUUUCGUUCCAGAACCUUUUCUUUUUGCCGGUUGGUGGUUGAUGAGUUUUGUUGUCAUUUGUCCCCAGAACCUUUUCUUUUUCUCCUCCUCCUGUUUUCAACACCUACUACUUCAUAUCCACCAUUCUCAAUUGGUAGUAACUUGAAGCUGCUUUGCCUUUUUAUGGCUGUUCGCUGUUCGUUUUGAUUUUUUUUUUUUUUUUAAUGACUGAUUAGUAUUGCAUGCCAUUUUGUAAAUUAAUGAAUUAAACAAUUACCUUUUGUUUCUGCUUGAUUCAUUCUCGUCAUCGGGUUUCUUUUUUCAUUUCCUUUUUCUGCCAUUUUGUUCUUGUUUUCGUAAUGAUCUAUGUUGUUGAAAAUUCAAAUUCUAAAAACAAGUCAAUUUUUUUUUUUUUUGGUUUUGUUUUCUAAACGUAGUUUGAAUUUUGUACACACCUACAUAUAGUCUUAAAACUAUUUUGGACUUGAUAUACCUCAAAUGUUUGCAUCUCGCGGAAUAAUUGGGAUGUAAUUUCAAAUGCUUACAACACCUUCUGUACUGGGAGAAGAGAAUGUUAUGUUCUUCUGGGUACGUAGAGGAGAAAUCAAUCUUUUGG